This 558-nucleotide ribosomal RNA is filed under the name uncultured bacterium. RNAcentral describes it as "partial 16S ribosomal RNA". It matches the Rfam family "Bacterial small subunit ribosomal RNA", at positions 355 to 937 of the family's 1533-position model. The record is from RNAcentral.
UGGGGAAUAUUGGACAAUGGGCGCAAGCCUGAUCCAGCCAUGCCGCGUGAGUGAUGAAGGCCUUAGGGUUGUAAAGCUCUUUCGGCGGGGACGAUAAUGACGGUACCCGCAGAAGAAGCCCCGGCUAACUUCGUGCCAGCAGCCGCGGUAAUACGAAGGGGGCUAGCGUUGCUCGGAAUCACUGGGCGUAAAGUCGCGUAGGCGGACAUUUAAGUCGGGGGUGAAAGCCCAGGGCUCAACCCUGGAAUUGCCUCCGAUACUGGGUGUCUCGAGACCGGAAGAGGUGAGUGGAACUGCGAGUGUAGAGGUGAAAUUCGUAGAUAUUCGCAAGAACACCAGUGGCGAAGGCGGCUCACUGGUCCGGUUCUGACGCUGAGGCGCGAAAGCGUGGGGAGCAAACAGGAUUAGAUACCCUGGUAGUCCACGCCGUAAACGAUGGAUGCUAGCCGUUGGCAGGCUUGCCUGUCAGUGGCGCAGCUAACGCUUUAAGCAUCCCGCCUGGGGAGUACGGCCGCAAGGUUAAAACUUAAAUGAAUUGACGGGGUCAUAGCUGUUCCU